This 508-nucleotide ribosomal RNA is filed under the name uncultured bacterium. RNAcentral describes it as "partial 16S ribosomal RNA". It matches the Rfam family "Bacterial small subunit ribosomal RNA", at positions 30 to 543 of the family's 1533-position model. The record is from RNAcentral.
GACGAACGCUGGCGGCGUGCUUAACACAUGCAAGUCGAACGGAAAGGCCCUGCUUUUGUGGGGUGCUCGAGUGGCGAACGGGUGAGUAACACGUGAGUAACCUGCCCUUGACUUUGGGAUAACUUCAGGAAACUGGGGCUAAUACCGGAUAGGAGCUCCUGCUGCAUGGUGGGGGUUGGAAAGUUUCGGCGGUUGGGGAUGGACUCGCGGCUUAUCAGCUUGUUGGUGGGGUAGUGGCUUACCAAGGCUUUGACGGGUAGCCGGCCUGAGAGGGUGACCGGCAGCGUGGGGCGUGCGAGCGGGAGCGUACGCGGGGGGGGGGCAGCGGGGAGGGAUGUGGGACAGUGGGAGGGAGCCGGGGGCAGCGAGGCGGCGGGGGGGGUGGCGGCCUUGGGGUGGUAGCCCGCUUGCGCGUGUGAGGAGGCGUGAGGGGCGGGAAGGGGAAAAGAAGCACGGGCUAACUACGCGCCAGCAGCGGCGCUAAGAACCGAAGCGCACACGUCGGAAC